RNAcentral lists this ribosomal RNA (466 nucleotides) under uncultured bacterium. Its description in RNAcentral is "bacterial SSU rRNA". It matches the Rfam family "Bacterial small subunit ribosomal RNA", at positions 867 to 1339 of the family's 1533-position model. The record is from RNAcentral.
AUCCCACUGGGGAGUACGCCGGCAACGGUGAAACUCAAAGGAAUUGACGGGGGCCCGCACAAGCGGAGGAACAUGUGGUUUAAUUCGAUGAUACGCGAGGAACCUUACCCGGGCUUGAACUGCAGCAGAACGAUUCAGAGAUGAUGAGGUCUUCGGGGCUGCUGUGGAGGUGCUGCAUGGUUGUCGUCAGCUCGUGCCGUGAGGUGUCGGCUUAAGUGCCAUAACGAGCGCAACCCUUUUCGCCAGUUGCCAGCAUGUGAUGGUGGGCACUCUGGGGAUACUGCCACCGUAAGGUGUGAGGAAGGUGGGGAUGACGUCAAAUCAGCACGCCUGAACGUCGGUGGCUACACACGUGUUACAAUGGGGAGUACAGAGAGUUGGCAUACGCAAGUGCGGUCAAAUCAUGAAAGCUCUCCUCAGUUCGGAUUGGGGCUGCAACCCGCCCCCAUAAAGCUGAUUCGCUAUA